This 4290-nucleotide small RNA is filed under the name Pan troglodytes (chimpanzee). RNAcentral describes it as "retained intron". The record is from RNAcentral. Lineage: Eukaryota; Metazoa; Chordata; Mammalia; Primates; Hominidae.
GUUGUCUAGGCUAAUCUCGAACUUCUUCUUAGCGAUCUUUCCACCUCGGCCUCCCAAAGUGCUGGAAUUACAGGUCUGAGGCACCACACCUGGGUUCCAUGUGCUUUCUGCACACACUUGGGAGGCAGGUGGGAGACCCUGGAUCCAGAGCUUGUGGGUGAUGCUGGCUUUCUCCUGCCCUGGGGAUCAAGACGGGCACCAGUGCCCAAGGGCACAGCCUGUGCCACCCGCUGCGGAUUUGCAGCGGUGCAGAAGCAGGGCUGGGAGGCCCUCUGCAGAUGUGUCUGUCUUAGUGAGGCCUCCCCAGGGGGCUGUGUGGGCGCUGGGCCAAGCACUUCCAUACCACAAGCUGGUCACAGUUCAGACCAAGCAGUGCAAGGCACGUCUGCUGGGUGCCAGGCACAGUGGUGCCCCAUGGGGUGGCCCCACUCCCGGCCUGGCUCGUGCCUCCUGUGGGGAAGCAGAGCAACUGGCUCGGGGCGGGAUGUGGUCAGACCUGGAGGCCGAGUGCUAUGGGUGCCGCGCUCCUUCCCAGGCCCUCACCCCUCCUUCUCCACCCAGGAGUCGUUCACGCCUACUGAGGAGCAUGUGUUGGUGGUGCGCCUGCUGCUGAAGCACCUGCACGCCUUUGCCAACAGCCUGAAGCCAGAGCAGGCCUCACCCUCCGCCCACUCCCACGCCACCAGCCCCCUGGAGGAGUUCAAACGGGCUGCUGUCCCGAGGUUCGUCCAGCAGAAACUCUACCUCUUCUUGGAGCAUUGCUUUGGCCACUGGCCCCUGGACGCAUCGUUCAGAGCUGUGAGUGUUGGCUCCGUCACACGUGUGCCUGUGUCCUCUGUGUGCCUUGAGGUGGGAGGUCCUCUGGGGCAGAUAAAGGAGGAGAGCAAGUGUUAUCACAGAGGCCUUGGCAAGGACGGGGUCUUGGAGGGCCACAUUGUUCUUUCUGUUUGAGUUUCCAAAGCCAGCCCUCAGGAAAGCCCUGCCCUGUCCCACCUGUCUGGUGCAGGGCAGGUUCCUACCCUUACCUGACCAGGGAGUACUCUGACCCCUGGGCUGGGAAAAGCCCACCCUGGCUUCUGGAGGGCCAGCAAGAGAGCCAAACCUCACAGGGCUGUGCAUGUCUCUCCUGCGCCCUCUGGAGGAAGUGAGAAGAGUCAGUCCCACCCAGCUGCCGCCUGGUAUCUGGGCUCCAGGCCACCGGAGUAUUUGGCCCCCAGCCACUGAGCCCUUAGCACACACCUCCCCCACAGGUCCUGGAGAUGUGGCUGAGCUACCUGCAGCCGUGGCGGUACGCGCCUGACAAGCAGGCUCCGGGCAGCGACUCCCAGCCCCGGUGUGUGUCGGAGAAAUGGGCGCCCUUUGUCCAGGAGAACCUGCUGAUGUACACCAAGUUGUUUGUGGGCUUCCUGAACCGCGCGCUCCGCACAGACCUGGUCAGCCCCAAGCACGCGCUCAUGGUGUUCCGAGUGGCCAAAGUCUUUGCCCAGCCCAACCUGGCUGAGAUGAUUCAGAAAGGUAAGUCCACAGCCUGGGCCAGCCGGGUAGACGUCAGCCCAGCCAGACCAGGGCCAGGCCCUUAGCUGGGGGUGGCUGGUCUUUAAGAGGGACCCACAUGCCCAGAGUGGGCCCCGGCAAAGGGUGCUGUGGAGACUCCUGGGACACAUCUGUGCGGUGAAGUCUGAAACUGGCUGGAUCCUGCCUGCCCUGCAGCCACCAGGCACUGGGUGGGGGAUCGCAGGUGUGCCCACAGAGCGGGGCUGCACGGUCCAAGCUGCGGCCCCGUGACCCCGCCGUUUCUCCCUGGCAACUCGUGGUGGCCGAUUCAGGAGGUGAGCCUGGUCUCUGCCUUGCAUUCAUCCUGGCUGGGUUGGGCGUUGGUUUCUGUCGAUCCUCCUGUUGUUUAUCUCCUGCAGACACUGCUAGGGCUCUGUGAGCCAGCAGCUCCCCAUCCGCCCUCCCAUGUCAGCCACCUACUGUGUGGAGAUGCUGCCAGCAGGCCUCAGGAGACACCCUGGUCAUGCUCCCAGACACCUCAAGACACCCAGAAUCCUAAGGGCAGCAGUGGGUACUCUGCCCCGGGAAGUGGGUGCCAGGUUCGUCUCCUGCCUUCUAGGUGAGCAGCUAUUCCUGGAGCCAGAGCUGGUCAUCCCCCACCGCCAGCACCGACUCUUCACGGCCCCCACAUUCACUGGGAGCUUCCUGUCACCCUGGCCACCAGCGGUCACUGAUGCCUCCUUCAAGGUGAAGAGCCACGUCUACAGCCUGGAGGGCCAGGACUGCAAGUACACCCCGAUGUUUGGGCCCGAGGCCCGCACCCUGGUCCUGCGCCUCGCUCAGCUCAUCACACAGGCCAAACACACAGCCAAGUCCAUCUCCGACCAGUGUGCGGAGAGCCCGGCUGGCCACUCCUUCCUCUCAUGGCUGGGCUUUAGCUCCAUGGACACCAACGGCUCCUACACAGCCAACGACCUGGACGAGAUGGGGCAAGACAGCGUCCGGAAGACAGAUGAAUACCUGGAGAAGGCCCUGGAGUACCUGCGCCAGAUAUUCCGGCUCAGCGAAGCGCAGCUUAGGCAGUUCACACUCGCCUUGGGCACCACCCAGGAUGAGAAUGGAAAAAAGCAGCUGCUUGACUGCAUCGUGGGUGAGAACGGACUCAUCCUUACGCCCCUGGGGCGGUACCAGAUCAUCAGUGGGCUGCGAAGGUUUGAAAUUGAGUACCAGGGGGAUCCGGAACUGCAGCCCAUCCAGAGCUAUGAGAUCGCCAGCUUGGUCCGCACACUCUUCAGGCUGUCGUCUGCCAUCAACCACAGAUUUGCAGGACAGAUGGCGGCUCUGUGUUCCCGGGAUGACUUCCUCGGCAGCUUCUGUCGCUACCACCUCACAGAACCUGGGCUGGCCAGCAGGCACCUGCUGAGCCCUGUGGGGCGGAGGCAGGUGGCCGGCCACACCCGCGGCCCCAGGCUCAGCCUGCGCUUCCUGGGCAGUUACCGGACGCUGGUCUCGCUGCUGCUGGCCUUCUUCGUGGCCUCUCUGUUCUGCGUCGGGCCCCUCCCAUGCACGCUGCUGCUCACCCUGGGCUACGUCCUCUACGCCUCUGCCAUGCCACUGCUGACCGAGCAGGGGAAACUGCACCAGCCCUGAAGGUGUCAGCUGCCUUCAGAGCAGGCUGGAGGGAUUUGCCACACAGCCCCACCCUUGGGCUGAGAGGACCUGGGAAGCCCCUCCAGGAGGGAACACGGUCAUCCUCGGGCUUCUGGAGCGGGGUUCCUGCAGCCACAGAGGCAUCUGGAGGAAACGCAACCAAGAAGGGAAGGCAGGUGGGCCCCAGCAAAGGAGUGGCUACCAGGGCUCAACAGCCACGCUCUGUGACAGUGCAGAGCUCAGCGCCGGCCUUUCCCUCCCUCCGCCAAGGACUCAUGCCCAAGCCAGCUCUCGGGGCCUUUUUUCCAGUGCCCAUUUGGCUACUCUGCUGCACCAAGCUUGGGAGCCAGCCUGCCAACACCCGCCUGGGCCUGGCCUCCCCACUGGCUGGCCUUGAGGUGGGCAGAGUGGGUUGUGGCGCCUCCUCUCUCUGUGUGGGACCAGGACGGUGGCUCAAGUCUCCACUCCAGGAAAGAAUCAAAGUUUCUAGAGUUGUGAGAAAACUAGAGAGUGGCUGUCCUGAUUCUUCACCGUGAGGGGCGUUCUUCGUGUUCUCCCAGCUGUUCCAAGACUGGGCCGUAGAAUUCCAUGUUUCAGGAGCCUAAGACCCUCCCAGAGCCCAGGUGCUUCACCACAGACCCCAAGCCAUUAAGCACAUCACCCAAAGCAGUGGCCAACAUCGCGGACCCCUGUGCCUUGUCACAGAUGGGUGCUGGUCCUCAGGCGUUGGGGACACUGCUGGGUCGAUGGGGUCGGAUUCUGCCAGUUUCUGCUCUGCAGCCAAAGAUGGUCAGAAGCAUUGUCACUUCAGUAACAUCAAGUGCUCAAAGACAUGGCAACCGUUCAGUGGUACUUAAGUAUUCAAAAUAUACAACUACAGAUUCUCUGACAGAAACCAGCACGGGGUCUUCACCUUCAUUCACCCCACAGACGACCUGCGAGGGAGAACAGCAUCUCAGUGGUGAUUUCCAAACCAAGCCUUUGUUUUCGGUGUGGGGUUUUGGGGGUUUGCUUUAAUGUUUUUAAAAUUGUAAAUGUUGGGCUUUGUAUUUUGAUGUAAACUGAGAAUAAUGGCAUUUUAGGGCCUGUGACCAAAAAUCAAGCUUGUAACGACCAUGGAUCUGAAUAAACCUGUCCUUGCUUCUG